This 460-nucleotide ribosomal RNA is filed under the name uncultured bacterium. RNAcentral's name for it is "partial 16S ribosomal RNA". It matches the Rfam family "Bacterial small subunit ribosomal RNA", at positions 338 to 795 of the family's 1533-position model. The record is from RNAcentral.
CCUACGGGAGACUGCAGUGAGGAAUAUUGGUCAAUGGACGAGAGUCUGAACCAGCCAAGUAGCGUGAAGGAUGACUGCCCUAUGGGUUGUAAACUUCUUUUAUAUGGGAAUAAAAUGUUCCACGUGUGGGAUGUUGUAUGUCCCAUAUGAAUAAGGAUCGGCUAACUCCGUGCCAGCAGCCGCGGUAAUACGGAGGAUCCGAGCGUUAUCCGGAUUUAUUGGGUUUAAAGGGAGCGUAGGUGGAUUGUUAAGUCAGUUGUGAAAGUUUGCGGCUCAACCGUAAAAUUGCAGUUGAAACUGGCAGUCUUGAGUACAGUAGAGGUAGGCGGAAUUCGUGGUGUAGCGGUGAAAUGCUUAGAUAUCACGAAGAACUCCGAUUGCGAAGGCAGCUCACUGGACUGCAACUGACACUGAGGCUCGAAAGUGUGGGUAUCAAACAGGAUUAGAUACCCCUGUAGUC